UGAGGAAGCGAAUGGUCAGACAUGCGUGUCGGAGUUUAUUCCGCGGUGGGAGGGUGUGAUAAAAAGCAAGGAAGCUUGGCUUUCACUCCCAGAAAACUUGAGGGUGGCCGUGGGAACCAAAAAGCCCCUCAUUGUGCCUUAAAGGGAGUGACGGCCGCACAGGCUGUGUGUGCCUAGGCUCAGGAACCAGGGCAGCACUGCGCAGGCGUGGGCCACAAGCGGCCCUCCCCCCGCCCCAACAAGAGAGCAGGAAAUACAGGGAAGGCGGGUCCGCGUAGGCCUAUGGUAGAGGCAGAGCUGCGCGGCUGAGGUGCGCAGUGCCCAGGGAGAGCCUGGGAGCCGCGCGGUUAGCUGCUGGCGAGCCUUGUCUGGAUGGACUACGCCGCAAUGGUCGUCCGGCACACCUUGGGGCCUCGGGUGGGGCCCACAUGCCAGGUCUUAAUAGCAUUUUGUCUUCAUAAAAAUAUGGAAAACUUCACCAGAUUCAAUCCAUUGCAGCUAAAAAAAAAAAAAGACUGCUGUGUAAAGAAAUCCUGAAUUUCCUACUAGAGGAUGAAAUACUUGUGGAGCCAGAGACAAGCCAUCCUAGCUCUGAUCUCCUUAGACCACAAGCCUGCCAGCCCUCAGACAUGUGAGUAAGCCAUCAUAGAUUAUUCAUUGCCAGCCAUGCUAGUGUAGACCA
This 682-nucleotide long non-coding RNA is filed under the name Mustela putorius furo (domestic ferret). RNAcentral describes it as "lncRNA (ENSMPUG00000027199.1)". The record is from RNAcentral. Lineage: Eukaryota; Metazoa; Chordata; Mammalia; Carnivora; Mustelidae.